UGCAGUCGAACGAGAGAGAAGGAGCUUGCUUCUUCGAUCGAGUGGCGAACGGGUGAGUAACGCGUGAGGAACCUGCCUCAAAGAGGGGGACAACAGUUGGAAACGACUGCUAAUACCGCAUAAGCCCACGGGUCGGCAUCGACCUGAGGGAAAAGGAGUGAUCCGCUUUGAGAUGGCCUCGCGUCCGAUUAGCUAGUUGGUGAGGUAACGGCCCACCAAGGCGACGAUCGGUAGCCGGACUGAGAGGUUGAACGGCCACAUUGGGACUGAGACACGGCCCAGACUCCUACGGGAGGCAGCAGUGGGGAAUAUUGCACAAUGGGGGAAACCCUGAUGCAGCGACGCCGCGUGGAGGAAGAAGGUCUUCGGAUUGUAAACUCCUGUUGUUGAGGAAGAUAAUGACGGUACUCAACAAGGAAGUGACGGCUAACUACGUGCCAGCAGCCGCGGUAAAACGUAGGUCACAAGCGUUGUCCGGAAUUACUGGGUGUAAAGGGAGCGCAGGCGGGAAGACAAGUUGGAAGUGAAAUCUAUGGGCUCAACCCAUAAACUGCUUUCAAAACUGUUUUUCUUGAGUAGUGCAGAGGUAGGCGGAAUUCCCGGUGUAGCGGUGGAAUGCGUAGAUAUCGGGAGGAACACCAGUGGCGAAGGCGGCCUACUGGGCACCAACUGACGCUGAGGCUCGAAAGUGUGGGUAGCAAACAGGAUUAGAUACCCUGGUAGUCCACACCGUAAACGAUGAUUACUAGGUGUUGGAGGAUUGACCCCUUCAGUGCCGCAGUUAACACAAUAAGUAAUCCACCUGGGGAGUACGACCGCAGGUUGAAACUCAA
This 833-nucleotide ribosomal RNA is filed under the name uncultured bacterium. RNAcentral describes it as "bacterial SSU rRNA". It matches the Rfam family "Bacterial small subunit ribosomal RNA", at positions 56 to 904 of the family's 1533-position model. The record is from RNAcentral.